Small nucleolar RNA from Jaculus jaculus (lesser Egyptian jerboa), 203 nucleotides. Its record names the gene SNORA73. It matches the Rfam family "Small nucleolar RNA SNORA73 family". From Rfam's summary of the family: U17 (SNORA73A and SNORA73B) also known as E1 belongs to the H/ACA class of small nucleolar RNAs (snoRNAs). Vertebrate U17 is intron-encoded and ranges in length from 200-230 nucleotides, longer than most snoRNAs. The record is from Ensembl. NCBI's taxonomy places the organism in Eukaryota, Metazoa, Chordata, Mammalia, Rodentia, Dipodidae.
CCGAUGUGGAUAUCCAGGGAGGUCACUCUUCCCGGGCUCUGUGCAGGUGGCAUAGGGGAGUGCAGGGCUCUGCCCCAUGGUGUACGGUCCCUUUCUACAACACGGGAGGGGAAGCUGGGCCGUGAGUUUGCACCUGCAUAUUCCUGCGACUUCUCGGAACCUGUGGACGAUGGCUGAGGAGACAAACCAUGCAGUGAAAAAAU